UGGCCGCUCGCACGAAGUUCGCGUUAACGUUUCAGAGCAUGCUAGGGGUUCCGUGUCUCGUUUGAUAAGAUAAACCUUUGUUGAUAAGUAAUGCCCUUAACAUUAACGCACCUACCGCUCAGACGUUUGCGCGAUGAUUGUUGCCUAUUUGUACCUUCUUUUGUUUUGUUUUGUGAAAUGGCGCACGACUCGGGAUAAAAGCCGUUUACCUUCGUCUCCUACCCACGGUUGAAAAGUGAUGGAAAUGUUCUACGUUUUGCUCAGUUCUUGUAACAAGCACCUAUUUCUAAUAUUUUUCACUGCUACUGUUGUCGGGUGCCUAGGACAUCACGUUGUCUUGUGUUUUGCUUCACCGCUAUGAAACGCGAUGUGUUGUCCACAUACGUCGUCGAUAUCUUUUCUAAAACGUGGAAUGUUUUCUCACGUGCUUUUUCAUUUUCAGGUCGGGCCCUGGAAGGUGCUUGAAAGUUUAAUGACACAUGAUUUAGGCGUCACUCUUUCAGCUUACACCCUACACAGGCACGCUAACCACAGUUGAGACGCACUUCAAUUCUGACGUUCAUUUAUGUUCAACGUCACUAUAUGAUAAUAUCUACGAUUUGCUGGGGUUGUUACGUAUACCUCAUAAUUGGUUGUACAAUGUGUAUGAAAUUGUUCAAGUAGCACGGUUUUCCCGUUCUAUAUACGCGGUUGCAGACAGUGGUGACGGAAGUGUGCGCAUGCUUUGAGUGUGCGUGGUUGUGGGGUGAGUGGAUUGGGGCGUAAGUGAGUUGGGGGAGUGCGAUGGAGAACAGACUACGAGAUAAGUUUCACUGCAAGGCAGCUGAGUAGCAUGAAGGGACCGCCACCAUCCCCCCCUUUGCUACCUUAUACCAAGCUUUAUUGCUAGUCUUGACACCCCGCGUUGAACUCCCGGCAUUCUUCUUUGAAAAAAAAAAAUAUUUUUACACGUACCAAGUAUAUAUAAAAUAUGCACGAACACCUUUUCAUGCUUAUAAGACCCAACCAACCUUGCUAAACAUGCAAAAAGAAACAAUAGUAUGGUGCCCCAUAUGGAUAACGGGAAACGUGCAACGUAACAUAUUCGCUGUACAAAAGACAGAAAUCAGUCAUGCAGUGCCCUGUGUAAAUUGCCGACGGUACUGUGUGUGAGUGAACCUGCAUAUCAAGCGAUAGGUGCUUUCUGGACCUUAAUAAUCUGAAUAUGCUUUCAAGAUAAGGCAGUACUUUUCCCUAACAAAGUCUGUGCUCAUGGGAACAAUAUAUUCCACCAGUACUUGUGCAUCAUGCACUCACUAUCAUGUACUAUUAUGUGCAAACGGCAGCAAUACCGUUUCAUUGAAUGUUACAUUGUUUGAGGAGACAGGUAAGGACACUCUACCCAGCUAAACUGCUGAUAGGCUUGAGCUCGAAUAACAUCUCCAGGGGUAAAGCCAAGAUAGCAUCAAGGGAGGAGGGUAGUUUCAUUGCAUGCUCAAUUUUGUCAGUGCAGAAGUAUUGGCAUGUCGAGGGGUUGAGGCUUCACUAGGCUUGGUAGUGAGGCAGAAAUGGCAUUUUGUGGUCGGUUUAUGCUACAUUUGGGCACAAUACUAGCCUGUUAUUCAAGCAUUACUCACAAUUUUGUGAUGUCUGGGAUUGUGCCAGAGCUUUGCCCCUCUAUCAUCAAAUGGCAACCCCAUUCCUUACACUGAAAAAAAAAAAAUUGCAGUUUUGAUACAGUAUUGCAGCACAAUGUGUACAUGUCUAGUUCGUGCUGGACAAAAUGGGCAAGUACUGCAUGCACAGGCUGUGGUGGUUCAUUGGUCAUGGCAUUUUGCUGCUGAGCACGAGGUCACAUGUUCAAUUCCAGUCCGUGUCUGUGCACUUAACUUUUUCCAAAAUGAACUUGAAUUUGGCUGUCUGUUAUGAACCUGGAGUUCCCCCGCUGACUAAAUAAUUUAAUACAGGGUAUUAAAACCAACCGCUACAUGCCGCCUGUGUACAUAGUUUAGGUGCAAACAAGCCAGUGGGCAAAUCAAAGAAACAUCAUUACCUGUAUCCCUGAGUAACAUGACGUUCGGCAUGUUGGCGAUACUUUGCAGCAUAAACAUUACUCUGACACAAUGAAUGCCUCUCAUCUAACCUGUGUUUUCUUACAUCAUAUGAAAACAAGUGGUGUGUCAUUCUUGUAGCUUAUAAAUGAGAAUACCAAUGUUUUUAAAAUUGUGCCAUCGUGCAGAUGCUUUCAAGGAUGCUGUCAUGUAUAUAUGUUCUGUGACCAAUGUACUAGCGAAUGUGGUAAGUGAAAUGUGCAAUUGCACCAUCUGUCUAGUAGUUCAACCUUUGCAGAUCAAGUUUCGCUCCACACAUUGUGCACAAAAUGCAUGCAUUUCAAGAAGAGUGCUUGUUUUGUUUUAUGUCACCCAUGCAUUAAUACCUACAGUGUUCCAUUGUUUAAUAUUGAUUCAUAUCAGCUGUGUUUAAACAACAGAGGAUGUUCAUCUUUUUUAUUAUUAUUAUUAUUAUUAUUAUAUGGUAUUUAGAAGAUGUCGCUUUUAAUUGGCACCAGCUACUCCUUUUCAUAUAAGGACUAAAAGAACGAAUAAUUCGUAACAAAAAUAGUUAAAUCAUAACACUAAUUCCGGCAACAUAAGUACACUAAUGUCACACUAUAGCUGAAAGACAACUCCAAAUCGUAAAAACACAAAGUCCAAUCACGUAAGUAGACUAAUGCUUCACUAAAACAAAAGGAUGUGCAUCUUGUUUUGUUCACGUUCGACUUAAGCUACAAUCUAUUAUGCGAAAAUGGAGUGCCUGAAGUAGAGCUUGUGUAUAUUAUGUUUAUUUUUAUCUUGCAUUCUUUAAAUGACUGCAGCAUGUUGAUAUGUUUAUUAAGUAGUACUAAACCUAGAGAAACAACUUAAACAUUUCAUUUUAUGUUGCCAACUGAAUUGAGUAGCAAUUUGAAUACUGCAAGGAGUACUAGAAUUCUUUGUCAUCAUUUUUUGUGCCGUACACUGUGUCUUGUGUGCCAUAACACCACUAGCAUUUUCAGUGUCAAGCACUCUUCAGACACACUCUUAAAAUUGUUUUGCUGGUGAUAGUCUUGCUCUGUGCUGUACCAUGACCUACUUUUUCCUUUCUGCUCUUACUGUACAGGGAUUAUUCGUGUGAUGCACUGUACGCUAUUUUGCUGUUCUAUUCAUUACUGCGCUGCUGGAGAUGGACCAAGAUAAAGUUAAUUUUUUCACUUAGAUGUCAGUGAAACAAUAUGGUCGACCUGAUGACAUUGUUGCAUACUCCAUACAUGCUUUGCACUAUAACCAUUGUGCGGGGUGUUUUUCAUAUAAAUAUGUUCAGUUGGAAUAUUGCCACUUCUGUAAACCAAAUUCUAACAUAAACUUCUGCAACGGAAUACAGCACUGAAACUGUGUGCCACCAUAGCAUGUUGUAAUAUUUACUUCAGUUUACUUGGUCCAGCACUAUUCAUAGCUUGGUUGUGUUUGAGCAUUGCACUUCCUUGCUAUGUUUCAUUCUGGCAAGCUUAAAAUUUGUUUUGUGUACCCAUAUAAGUUUGUUAUGCUAAGGCAUUGUAAGUGAAGAAAUAUGCUUGACAUUCUCUCUCAUUUUUUCGUGUUUAUGUAGAUGCAGUCUUGCUUUGUAAUUGGCGCUAUACUAGUGACCUUCCUCACAUUUCUCGUGCAGGACGACGUGGCCGGCCGGCAACUGUCAAGUAUCGGGCAUCGCUUCAGGGGCGCCUCUACCACUGCCACCAAUGUGAUUAUGCAACCCACAAACCAUCGAACCUUGUAGCACACAAUCGCAUUCACACAGGCGAGCGGCCAUUUCACUGCCACUUAUGCCCCCAGAGCUUCGCACACAAAUGCCAGCUCACGGUACAUGUGCGCCUGCACAAAGGCGAGCGACCGUACCAGUGCCCCAUCUGCCCCUUGGCCUUUCUGCAGGCCAGUCAAAUGAAAUGUCACUUGAGGAGUCGUCACCGUGAUGCUACAUAGUGAGACAGUGUGUGUGUUGUUGGUAGUUGGUGCUCCAUGACUACGAGUGGUACAGUGCGAUUUCGGACACAGCCGGAAGAAAGUACACGCACAAGGACCCUUCGACUGAAAUUCGAUAAUGAUGUAAGUGGGGUUCAUGUACAAAUUGGCACAAGGAAAGCCAAUACCCAAACUCGUGUGAGCCCUUGGUAGUUGCAGUUCAUGUACAGCAAUAGCUGGGGGACGCAGGCGCCUUUUCAAGAUACUUAAGAUACAUUAGCACUUUUAGCAGUGGUGCGUAGAUCUUACAGAAAUCCACCCAAUGUGAUGUGUGUUCCUGGUUUGAAAAGGUAUUGAGAGCUGGGUUUACUGAAUUGCCUGACCAUACAAGACGCCGUGACCAGUUUCACAAAGGUGCCCACGUCUCUCUCUGAAGAUAAGAUUCAGUAUUCCAGAGGAUAUUUAAAUCAUCACCGAUGCUCUACUGUUGUGUUGUGUGGUGAGCUUGUGUUGUUUGGACCCUUGUGUGCUUCCCUGGAGAGGCACCACCCUGCAUCAAGAUUUGCUGACACCACCUCGCCCCAUGGGCUCAUGCCACCAGAUUCUCGAAGAUCUUUCUGCAUCCUACGUGUGAUGGUUUGGCAAUAUCAACGACUCAGAGUUUGAAUUGAAAAUGAAACACAUGUUUUUAUAUUAGCAGACCCAAAGACUUUAGAGCAGCUUAUUCAUUUAUUCACUGUCCAUGGCUAUCGUCAUGUCCCCAAUAAAUACAAUGGCCAUUUCA
Molecule: non-coding RNA, 4758 nt
Organism: Dermacentor andersoni
Lineage: Eukaryota; Metazoa; Arthropoda; Arachnida; Ixodida; Ixodidae
Source: RefSeq, a predicted model, not a curated record